UGAAAAGCGUUUAAAUGCUAGUUCCUCACCGGCAUGGUGUUAUUUGAGCAGGUCAUGCCUAUGUUUCUGUCUUUCCUCCCUAUUUUGCCACGUCCCCUAAGCCGGACACUCCCCGAGGAACCCUGCCCUGAUAACACUAGAGAGAACGGUUCUUCACCCAGCUUGCUUCCUUGACUUCCAGCAGCAUGUGUGGCAGAGGUCAAAGCCAUCAGUAACUUUCCACUUGGACAUAUAAGCCUUGCUGAAUUCAUUACACAGUUCCAGUCACGGGACCCCAUUUAAGCCACGAGGCAUUUGCACUGAAGUGGGCAGCCAACUGUCCCCUGACAGCCCCUCGGAAUUCUCACCAUCACCGAUGAGAACAAGAGUAGAAUGGCCGGUUGCUUUCCCGUCUUGAAUCUGGAAUGUGUAUGUCCCCUCAUCCUCAUCCUGCAGCUUCUCCAUGAACAUUUCAAUCACGCCAGUAUUUCGGUCAACAUGCAUCUUGUAUUUCUUCAUGUGAAGAGCUAAACAUGAUCUUCAGCAUUGCUCCCCGCCUAAAGCCUACGGCCCUCAUCUAUCAACACGGGUAUUGUGUGCCUCGCUUGGCUGUCAGACCAUUAUCUGUGGUACAGCAGGAUACGUUAACAUACAUGGUGAUGGUCAAUGGUUGGAAGGAUCCACUACACUGGAUUAUCUCCCUGUGUAAUGCCUGUGCCUUCGGAGAUAGGCUUCUGCCUUGCUUUCUGUUUCAUCCCUGGCAUCCAGGACCGUGUCUGGAACACAGUACAUGAGUUAAUGAACAAAUCAAUCAUUGUGUUUUCUCAUUUUGACAAGCUCCACCACUAGUCAUGGUAUCAUUUAAGAGCAACCAAACAUUUAAAUGUUAAGUGAAUAAACCAGAAGAAAAGUUGA
This is a long non-coding RNA of Mesocricetus auratus (golden hamster), 894 nucleotides long. RefSeq lists it as uncharacterized. The transcript is spliced from 4 exons. The record is from RefSeq and is a predicted model, not a curated record. Lineage: Eukaryota; Metazoa; Chordata; Mammalia; Rodentia; Cricetidae.